AUCCUUUUUUGGUUCAGAAGCAUGAUGAUUGGGAGUUAAGCCACUGUGUGAUGUGUGCCGCCCAUUAAACGUUGUUACAACGUUGGCACAUUUCCCAUCUGACA
This is a small nucleolar RNA of Mesocricetus auratus (golden hamster), 104 nucleotides long. RefSeq annotates it as small nucleolar RNA U13. The record is from RefSeq and is a predicted model, not a curated record. The transcript has a single exon. NCBI's taxonomy places the organism in Eukaryota, Metazoa, Chordata, Mammalia, Rodentia, Cricetidae.